Molecule: ribosomal RNA, 459 nt
Filed under: Enterococcus faecalis
Lineage: Bacteria; Bacillati; Bacillota; Bacilli; Lactobacillales; Enterococcaceae
Description: bacterial SSU rRNA
Rfam family: Bacterial small subunit ribosomal RNA
Source: RNAcentral
AUAACACUGGAAACAGGUGCUAAUACCGCAUAACAGUUUAUGCCGCAUGGCAUAAGAGUGAAAGGCGCUUUCGGGUGUCGCUGAUGGAUGGACCCGCGGUGCAUUAGCUAGUUGGUGAGGUAACGGCUCACCAAGGCCACGAUGCAUAGCCGACCUGAGAGGGUGAUCGGCCACACUGGGACUGAGACACGGCCCAGACUCCUACGGGAGGCAGCAGUAGGGAAUCUUCGGCAAUGGACGAAAGUCUGACCGAGCAACGCCGCGUGAGUGAAGAAGGUUUUCGGAUCGUAAAACUCUGUUGUUAGAGAAGAACAAGGACGUUAGUAACUGAACGUCCCCUGACGGUAUCUAACCAGAAAGCCACGGCUAACUACGUGCCUAGCAGCCGCGGUAAUACGUAGGUGGCAAGCGUUGUCCGGAUUUAUUGGGCGUAAAGCGAGCGCAGGCGGUUUCUUAAGU